This is a small nuclear RNA of Manis pentadactyla (Chinese pangolin), 107 nucleotides long. Lineage: Eukaryota; Metazoa; Chordata; Mammalia; Pholidota; Manidae. The record is from RefSeq and is a predicted model, not a curated record.
GUGCUUGUUUCAGCAGCACAUAUACUAAAAUUGGAAUAAUACAGAGAAGAUUUGCAUGGCCCCUGUGCAAGGAUGACAUGCAAGUUCAUGAAGCGUUCCAUAUUUUU